This 639-nucleotide ribosomal RNA is filed under the name uncultured Nocardiopsis sp. Its description in RNAcentral is "bacterial SSU rRNA". It matches the Rfam family "Bacterial small subunit ribosomal RNA", at positions 338 to 974 of the family's 1533-position model. The record is from RNAcentral. Lineage: Bacteria; Bacillati; Actinomycetota; Actinomycetes; Streptosporangiales; Nocardiopsidaceae.
CCUACGGGAGGCAGCAGUGGGGAAUCUUGCGCAAUGGGCGAAAGCCUGACGCAGCGACGCCGCGUGGGGGAUGACGGCCUUCGGGUUGUAAACUCCUUUUACCACUCACGCAGGCCCGGGGUUUUCUUCGGGUUGACGGUAGGUGGGGAAUAAGGACCGGCUAACUACGUGCCAGCAGCCGCGGUAAUACGUAGGGUCCGAGCGUUGUCCGGAAUUAUUGGGCGUAAAGAGCUCGUAGGCGGCGUGUCGCGUCUGCUGUGAAAGACCGGGGCUUAACUCCGGUUUUGCAGUGGAUACGGGCAUGCUAGAGGUAGGUAGGGGAGACUGGAAUUCCUGGUGUAGCGGUGGAAUGCGCAGAUAUCAGGAGGAACACCGGUGGCGAAGGCGGGUCUCUGGGCCUUACCUGACGCUGAGGAGCGAAAGCAUGGGGAGCGAACAGGAUUAGAUACCCUGGUAGUCCAUGCCGUAAACGAUGGGCGCUAGGUGUGGGGACUUUCCACGGUUUCCGCGCCGUAGCUAACGCAUUAAGCGCCCCGCCUGGGGAGUACGGCCGCAAGGCUAAAACUCAAAGGAAUUGACGGGGGCCCGCACAAGCGGCGGAGCAUGUUGCUUAAUUCGACGCAACGCGAAGAACCUUAC